This 1259-nucleotide long non-coding RNA is filed under the name Chinchilla lanigera (long-tailed chinchilla). Its description in RNAcentral is "lncRNA (ENSCLAG00000026342.1)". The record is from RNAcentral. Lineage: Eukaryota; Metazoa; Chordata; Mammalia; Rodentia; Chinchillidae.
AUGAACAAUUUUCUGAUCAUUUAUUCAAAGGCAGAACAAAUGAGUUCUCCAAGAUAAAAUACAUGAGCACCAUUUCUGCUUCAAGACACACUGAAGAAAAUGCAGAAGAGAAGCCCAGGAAGGGGAGGCAGGAUCUUACCAUGUUAGAAAUGUCGGGUCAUGUUGCAGAAUCUUGUUUAUGUUUUUCUCUCAAAGAAAAUACAGCGAGAUUGUCCGACAUGACAAGAACAUUUGACAGUUGUUCUCACAACGGCUUCCUUAACGUCUCCCAAGGAUCAGUGGACAGAACCUCGGGGAAGAACUGUACUUCUGAAAAUGAAGAACAAUUGUUCCCAGACAAUUUGGCUUCAUUUUGUAUAUCACCUUCUAAUCCUUAGCUCCUGACUUGUACUACUUUUCAAAGCAGCAUCCUUUUUUAUUUAUUUAUUUAAUUUUUUUUGGUACUGUAGGUUGGUGGUUAUCUUCACAAAUGUUUUUGUCUUAAAAAGAGAAAUCCUGAAAAUUUCACCCCGUAUGCAGAAAACUUUGCUGCGUUUUCUGAUGCAUCUAUUCAAGAGGAGGCCUUGGCAUUUUCAGAAUGUACCCUGGGUGUGUCAAGAAAAACAAAACAAAAUAAAAUUAAACAACAGAAUUGAAGCAACGCAUGAUCUCAGGCUUGCCAGGCAAGCACACACCGCUGACCUCUAUCCCCGGCCCAAAAGCAGCAUUCUUUAAAUAACUUUUUACGUGAACAACACGUAUCUUUCUCUUAAUGUUUGUUUCAAUCCUUGCUCAGAAUCUUUGAAAGAAUUUUCCUGAAGUCCUUAGCUUCAAGUUGCCUAGUGAGUUGACCUACUAAAAUAUCAAACAAUUCUUUUUCUAGCUUAAACUUUCUGUGGCCUCCCUAAUUGAUUUCUCAGUGCAGCUCACAGGCACGUAACCUCUGGUGUACACCCUGCAGUUAUGAAUGUGUUACCCAUACAGGCUUCCCUAGGGAGCUGCUCCACCAGUGCUAACGCUAGACCCCAGAAUUCUCUGGCCCGAGGAUUUGCUGUACAAACCUCAGGCGGUGCAGACAACAGUAUAGUUCAGGCUCAGUCAGAAGGCUUCCUUCCUCCUUCUCACUAUUUUGUAAUUUUUCAAUAAACCAUGAUGUUCUACAUUCAUUCGUCAUUUUCUUCUAUUUUUAUUACUAUACUGGUAUGUGUACAUAUGCUCCUUUGGAGGGGAUAUUUUUGAGAGAAGUUUCUGAUGUAAAACAGAACACUAGUCAUUUUCCA